UUCUAUCUACUAUCAUUAUCUAUCCUAGUUCUAUAACUUGCAAAUUCUAUUGUUGCAAUUCCAUGUAUUGCCAAAUAAUCUUUAAUCAAUGCUUUCAUUCCUCCUUUACCAAAGUUGGUUUGGAGAAGAUCACAAGUAUCUUUCAAUGCAACCUUCCCAUCUUUCUAAUAAACAAUACCUUGUUGUACCAUCUCAUCAAAUUCACGACAAUCUUUUCAAGAAUGACAAUCAUCAUCACACCAAAUACAUCUUUGUUCAUACCCUUGUUUA
RNAcentral lists this long non-coding RNA (270 nucleotides) under Physcomitrium patens. RNAcentral describes it as "long non-coding RNA (PPAT_LNC011602)". Lineage: Eukaryota; Viridiplantae; Streptophyta; Bryopsida; Funariales; Funariaceae. The record is from RNAcentral.